AGCAGCCGCGGUAAUUCCAGCUCCAAUAGCGUAUAUUAAAGUUGUUGCAGUUAAAAAGCUCGUAGUUGAAUUUUGGGUCUGGCCGGGCGGUCCGUCCUCUGGAUGAGUACUGUUCCGAUGUCGGGCCUAUCCUUCUGGUGAGUCGGCAUGCCCUUUAUUGGGUGCGUCGGGGAACCAGGACCAUUACCUUGAAAAAUUAGAGUGUUCAAAGCAGGCUUUUGCUCGAAUACAUUAGCAUGGAAUAAUGAAAUAGGACGCGUGGUGCUAUUUUGUUGGUUUCUAGAACCGCCGUAAUGAUUAAUAGGGAUAGUUGGGGGCAUUAGUAUUCAAUUGUCAGAGGUGAAAUUCUUGGGUUUAUUGAAGACUAACUUCUGCGAAAGCAUUUGCCAAGGAUGUUUUCAUUAAUCAAGAACGAAAGUUAGGGGAAUCGAAGACGAUCAGAUACCGUCGUAGUCUUAACCAUAAACUAUGCCGACUAGGAAUCGGGCGAUGUUAUUCUCACGACUCGCCCGGGCGCCCU
RNAcentral lists this ribosomal RNA (520 nucleotides) under uncultured Ambispora. RNAcentral's name for it is "SSU rRNA". It matches the Rfam family "Eukaryotic small subunit ribosomal RNA", at positions 569 to 1089 of the family's 1831-position model. Lineage: Eukaryota; Fungi; Glomeromycota; Glomeromycetes; Archaeosporales; Ambisporaceae. The record is from RNAcentral.